GCUUGGUGGAUCAGUGGCGAACGGGUGAGUAACACGUGAGCAACCUGCCCUGGACUCUGGGAUAAGCGCUGGAAACGGCGUCUAAUACUGGAUAUGAGCUCUCAUCGCAUGGUGGGGGUUGGAAAGAUUUUUCGGUUUGGGAUGGGCUCGCGGCCUAUCAGCUUGUUGGUGAGGUAAUGGCUCACCAAGGCGUCGACGGGUAGCCGGCCUGAGAGGGUGACCGGCCACACUGGGACUGAGACACGGCCCAGACUCCUACGGGAGGCAGCAGUGGGGAAUAUUGCACAAUGGGCGCAAGCCUGAUGCAGCAACGCCGCGUGAGGGAUGACGGCCUUCGGGUUGUAAACCUCUUUUGGUAGGGAAGAAGCCUUCGGGUGACGGUACCUGCAGAAAAAGCGCCGGCUAACUACGUGCCAGCAGCCGCGGUAAUACGUAGGGCGCAAGCGUUAUCCGGAAUUAUUGGGCGUAAAGAGCUCGUAGGCGGUCUGUCGCGUCUGCUGUGAAAUUCCGAGGCUCAACCUCGGGCUUGCAGUGGGUACGGGCAGACUAGAGUGCGGUAGGGGAGAUUGGAAUUCCUGGUGUAGCGGUGGAAUGCGCAGAUAUCAGGAGGAACACCGAUGGCGAAGGCAGAUCUCUGGGCCGUUACUGACGCUGAGGAGCGAAAGGGUGGGGAGCAAACAGGCUUAGAUACCCCUGGUAGUCCACCCCGUAAACGUUGGGAACUAGUUGUGGGGUCC
This 737-nucleotide ribosomal RNA is filed under the name Microbacteriaceae bacterium GUDS1166. Its description in RNAcentral is "bacterial SSU rRNA". It matches the Rfam family "Bacterial small subunit ribosomal RNA", at positions 82 to 830 of the family's 1533-position model. Lineage: Bacteria; Bacillati; Actinomycetota; Actinomycetes; Micrococcales; Microbacteriaceae. The record is from RNAcentral.